Long non-coding RNA from Chelonia mydas (Green sea turtle), 633 nucleotides. RefSeq lists it as uncharacterized. The record is from RefSeq and is a predicted model, not a curated record. NCBI's taxonomy places the organism in Eukaryota, Metazoa, Chordata, Testudines, Cheloniidae. The transcript has 3 exons.
ACCACUUCCUCUCACAGUGCCUAUUUUCCUGAUCUCACGGGACUCUCUUUACUACUGUAUGAUCCUCUAAAUUGGGUAGUACAGCCAGGGAGACUUCCAUCAUCAGUCUUAAAGGACUCACAUACCCUGUUACAGGGCUCCUGCUGAGGAAUAAAACUACUGGGUGAAUAGCAGAAAACUUGCAAAGCUGGGAGCUCGUUUUGUUAAUGCAUCCAGCAAUCUACUUUAGCUUCCUGUUCCUGAGGCAGCGAAUGGCUAUAUCUGUGCUACAUAAUCUGCCUGAGUCUGAUCUCAGUCACUCCGAUAUGAAUCUCAAAUAACUCCACUGGAGGCACAGGCAAUGGAUUUAUCUCAACAAAGAAACAGUGAUCUGCAGAUUCGAACAUGAAGUCUUCAGAAAACAUGCUCUCUCAUCAGAUGACUAAUAUAUACUGUUUGGACCGGAAACACCACAAGAUCAACUUCUUUGGUGACAUCUCAGUCAGCACGUCUGCAUUUGGCCCCAACCAGAAGUCUGAGGUGUGCUAAAUUUUAAAAAAGGGCCCCAAGAGAGAAUUUGGAGGAGGGAAUCCAGCUAACAUGACUAUGGCUGACUGAAAAGGGGGAUGCAAACACUGGCUGACUAAAAGACAA